Chinchilla lanigera (long-tailed chinchilla) is the source of this 553-nucleotide non-coding RNA. NCBI's taxonomy places the organism in Eukaryota, Metazoa, Chordata, Mammalia, Rodentia, Chinchillidae. The record is from the annotation of a RefSeq genome assembly.
CAGGCCAGCUCAACACCUGCUGAUUUGCAUGUCCCAGAGCGCAGCAGUAUAGGGACUUAUACGCUGUCACAUCCUGUGCAGGAGGUAGAUCCAGUCGGGACACAGCAUGAACAUGAGGGUCUCCGCUCAGGUCCUGGGGCUCCUGCUGCUCUGGCUGUCAGGUGUGCGAUGUGACAUCCAGGUGACCCAGACUCCAUCCUCGCUGGCUGCCUCUGUAGGAGACACAGUCACCAUCAGUUGCAGGGCCAGUCAGAGUGUUAGCAGUUACGUAAACUGGUACCAGCAGAAACUAGGGAAAUCUCCUACCCUCCUCAUCUAUAAUGCUAAGAAUUUGCAAUCUGGGGUCCCGUCAAGGUUCAGCGGCAGUGGGUCUGGGACAGAUUUCACUCUCACCAUCAGGAACCUGCAGCCUGAAGACUUUGCAACUUAUUACUGUAUGCAGCAUAAUAGUUCCCCUCCCACAGUGAUUCAAGCCAUAACAAAAACCUCCCGAAGAAGCAGAAGUGCGAGUCUGGGCUGCCCAGCUGCUCCUCCUGGUGCCCCCACCUGCUAA